Molecule: ribosomal RNA, 609 nt
Filed under: uncultured bacterium
Lineage: Bacteria
Description: bacterial SSU rRNA
Rfam family: Bacterial small subunit ribosomal RNA
Source: RNAcentral
UAGUGGCGCAGCUAACGCACUAAGUAGACCGCCUGGGGAGUACGGCCGCAAGGUUAAAACUCAAAUGAAUUGACGGGGGCCCGCACAAGCGGUGGAGCAUGUGGUUUAAUUCGACGCAACGCGAAGAACCUUACCUGGCCUUGACAUGCAGAGAACUUUCCAGAGAUGGAUUGGUGCCUUCGGGAACUCUGACACAGGUGCUGCAUGGCCGUCGUCAGCUCGUGUCGUGAGAUGUUGGGUUAAGUCCCGUAACGAGCGCAACCCCUAUCCCUAGUUGCUAGCAGUUCGGCUGAGGACUCUAGGGAGACUGCCGGUGACAAACCGGAGGAAGGUGGGGAUGACGUCAGGUCAUCAUGGCCCUUACGGCCAGGGCUACACACGUGCUACAAUGGUGCGUACAGAGGGCUGCAAACCCGCGAGGGGGAGCUAAUCUCACAAAACGCAUCGUAGUCCGGAUCGGAGUCUGCAACUCGACUCCGUGAAGUCGGAAUCGCUAGUAAUCGCGAAUCAGAAUGUCGCGGUGAAUACGUUCCCGGGCCUUGUACACACCGCCCGUCACACCAUGGGAGUGGAUUGCACCAGAAGUGGUUAGUCUAACCUUCGGGAGGA